UACAGAGGGGGCAAGCGUUGUUCGGAAUUACUGGGCGUAAAGGGCGCGUAGGCGGCCCGCUAAGUCGAACGUGAAAUCCCCGGGCUCAACCCGGGAACUGCGUCCGAUACUGGCGGGCUUGAAUCCGGGAGAGGGAUGCGGAAUUCCAGGUGUAGCGGUGAAAUGCGCAGAUAUCAGGAGGAACACCGGUGGCGAAGGCGGGUCUCUGGGCCGAUACUGACGCUGAGGAGCGAAAGCGUGGGGAGCGAACAGG
RNAcentral lists this ribosomal RNA (253 nucleotides) under uncultured bacterium. RNAcentral's name for it is "partial 16S ribosomal RNA". It matches the Rfam family "Bacterial small subunit ribosomal RNA", at positions 524 to 776 of the family's 1533-position model. The record is from RNAcentral.